GGCUGCUGAGGGAGCUGGGGAGCUUCAGCCUUCGUCCCCCAGUCCUGAGAUGAGAGCCAGGGUUGGGCAGCACCUUGGCCUGCACACCUCAGCCCCUGUUCUUCUUGCAGGUGCCUGCAGAGGGAGAUGCCCAAGGCAGCAGCACGUUGACGGACCACAGAUGGAAACCACAGACAACGGCGAAGUCACAUGUGAGUACUACCACCUCCCUUGGCGGAAGCCAUGCGCCCAUCUCAUGUGGAAUCCCACCACUUCAUUUCCCACUGGGAUAUACAAAAUCCCUGCCUGUUCAUCAAGGCCAGGUUUCUCUCCAGCACCUCAUGUCCUGCUUCUUCCUCGCAUGCAGAGCGCGGCUGCUGGCUGCACAAGGGACAUGGCAGCAUCCCAGUGCUCCCAGGGACAAAGCCCAUUUGCCUGGGGGGUCCUUCCACACCAGCUCCACCCUCAGGCUGCAUUUUCCCUGCUUCAGCCUCUGCUUUUGUCCUUUCUUCAGUUUCUCUUCAGUGUCAUUUCUGCUUCAAGAACUACACAAAGCACAUCACAGCAACGAAAGAUGUGGCUCUGUUUCCUUGCCCUGCUGGGGAAAAUAUUUUAGAUCUUGUUCUGAAACCACAGGCAGCUGCCAAGGGAGGAUGUUGUGGGUUGGUGACAGGCUACAGAUAUAUACCUACCUGACGUGAACGUAGCUCGAGUUGCAGCUUGACCUUUUUUACCCACGCCUGCACAGCACAUUUUGCAAGGUGUGCUGGCUGUGCAAAGAGAGGCGACGCCACAGAAAGCUGGAAAUACACCAAAACCUCAGCAUCUCUGCUCCACUGCUUCUUAAUGCACAUCGCAGACCAGGGUGAUGGGAGGGGAAAUGUGGUCAGGCGUUGAGAGCUGACCUCAGGCAGCUGAUGCCCAAAGCUCACGGGGGUUCACCCCCCUCCAAUCACCAAGGGCUCAUGGUGUGUUUUUUCCCCACAGACUCCACCAUUGCCCACGUUCGACGGGACAGGGUGAGUCGUGGCACAGCUGUGCACAGCUCCUUUCUGCACUCCUGCAGCCUGGUGCCUGCUCAUUGUGCAGGGCUCACAGUCAGCAGCUGAAGUAACAGGGUUUCUUUUCCCCCUAAAGCCUCGUCCCAUGCAGCACAUGAGCGACACCACGACGUAUGCCACAGUGAGCCGCACCCAGACCCGAUAGCGCUGCCACAGGGCAAGGGCACAGGAGCCUUGUCCACAGCCGCCUUUGCUCUCCUGCAGAGUUCUUGUGCAGUCAUAUCAUGGGGUUGAGGGUUGCACUUUGGGCAUCUCUGGAAUUUGCUGUCACAGGGAACGGCUGUGUUUGUCUAGCCAAGAGGAUGAAGGACUCAUAUUUCUUUUUGCAAUGAAUUAAUACCUCUAAAAUAUGUCAGGUGUACCAAGUAAUAAUAUGAGUGUAUCAAUGCUUUUUUUUCAUGUGAAACCAUCUCCCUGUGCUCA
This 1463-nucleotide long non-coding RNA is filed under the name Anas platyrhynchos platyrhynchos (common mallard). RNAcentral describes it as "lncRNA (ENSAPLG00000019809.1)". The record is from RNAcentral. Lineage: Eukaryota; Metazoa; Chordata; Aves; Anseriformes; Anatidae.